Molecule: ribosomal RNA, 423 nt
Filed under: uncultured archaeon
Lineage: Archaea
Description: bacterial SSU rRNA
Rfam family: Archaeal small subunit ribosomal RNA
Source: RNAcentral
CCUAUGGGGGGCAGCAGGCGCGAAUCUUUUGCAAUGCGCGCAAGCGUGACAAAGCGAGCCAGAGUGCUUUUCAAUUGAAAAGCUUUUGCCAAAUCUAAAAAUUUUGGCGAAUAAGGACUGGGCAAGACUAGUGCCAGCCGCCGCGGUAAUACUAGCGGUCCAAGUCGCAGCCAUCAUUAUUGGGUCUAAAACAUCCGUAGCUUGCUUAUUAAGUUUCUUGUGAAAUCUUAUCUCUUAAGGAUAAGGCGUGCAAGAAAUACUGUUAAGCUAGAGACUGGAAGACGUAGAAAGUAUGUCUAAAGUAGCGGUAAAAUGUGUUAAUCUUAGGCAGACUCACAACAGCGAAGGCAUUCUACGAGGACAGUUCUGACAGUAAAGGAUGAAGGCUAGGGGCGCAAAGUGGAUUAGAUACCCCCGUAGUCC